RNAcentral lists this small RNA (29 nucleotides) under Bombyx mori (domestic silkworm). Its description in RNAcentral is "ovarian small RNA-2491". Lineage: Eukaryota; Metazoa; Arthropoda; Insecta; Lepidoptera; Bombycidae. The record is from RNAcentral.
ACCCAGUCCACGAGAACCGGGCGGACCGC